UGGCGAAGAUAGUAACUCUGAACCUAACGAAGAAAGCGAACCAAGCCAAAUCACUACCCUGGAUUCUUUUCUCGACCUUUUAAGAAAUUUGAUUCCACCAAAUUUGGUAGAAGCAGCAUUGAAAUCUACGCAGACAGAUUACGCUAGUAAAUCUAUCAACUUUCUUCGAAAAAACACAAGCAGCCCUUCUUCGGCAAAAGAUGUGGCCAAUCUCCUUAAUGACAACACGGUUGUUCCAUGGGGUUCCAACAAUGGCAAGAAUGUGACGAUCAUCACCAAUGACAAAGAAUACACAUUCUCUGGCACUGUCGAGAAGGAUGGUACAAAUUUUCUAGGCCUGAUAGUUUUCUCCAUUCUGCUUGGUAUAAUUCUAAG
Molecule: long non-coding RNA, 375 nt
Organism: Dendronephthya gigantea
Lineage: Eukaryota; Metazoa; Cnidaria; Anthozoa; Malacalcyonacea; Nephtheidae
Exons: 3
Source: RefSeq, a predicted model, not a curated record